This 985-nucleotide ribosomal RNA is filed under the name Escherichia coli. RNAcentral describes it as "partial 23S ribosomal RNA". It matches the Rfam family "Bacterial large subunit ribosomal RNA", at positions 165 to 1191 of the family's 2925-position model. RNAcentral also lists the same sequence under 1 other name. The record is from RNAcentral. Lineage: Bacteria; Pseudomonadati; Pseudomonadota; Gammaproteobacteria; Enterobacterales; Enterobacteriaceae.
CAUAGGUUAAUGAGGCGAACCGGGGGAACUGAAACAUCUAAGUACCCCGAGGAAAAGAAAUCAACCGAGAUUCCCCCAGUAGCGGCGAGCGAACGGGGAGCAGCCCAGAGCCUGAAUCAGUGUGUGUGUUAGUGGAAGCGUCUGGAAAGGCGCGCGAUACAGGGUGACAGCCCCGUACACAAAAAUGCACAUACUGUGAGCUCGAUGAGUAGGGCGGGACACGUGGUAUCCUGUCUGAAUAUGGGGGGACCAUCCUCCAAGGCUAAAUACUCCUGACUGACCGAUAGUGAACCAGUACCGUGAGGGAAAGGCGAAAAGAACCCCGGCGAGGGGAGUGAAAAAGAACCUGAAACCGUGUACGUACAAGCAGUGGGAGCCUCUUUAUGGGGUGACUGCGUACCUUUUGUAUAAUGGGUCAGCGACUUAUAUUCUGUAGCAAGGUUAACCGAAUAGGGGAGCCGAAGGGAAACCGAGUCUUAACUGGGCGUUAAGUUGCAGGGUAUAGACCCGAAACCCGGUGAUCUAGCCAUGGGCAGGUUGAAGGUUGGGUAACACUAACUGGAGGACCGAACCGACUAAUGUUGAAAAAUUAGCGGAUGACUUGUGGCUGGGGGUGAAAGGCCAAUCAAACCGGGAGAUAGCUGGUUCUCCCCGAAAGCUAUUUAGGUAGCGCCUCGUGAAUUCAUCUCCGGGGGUAGAGCACUGUUUCGGCAAGGGGGUCAUCCCGACUUACCAACCCGAUGCAAACUGCGAAUACCGGAGAAUGUUAUCACGGGAGACACACGGCGGGUGCUAACGUCCGUCGUGAAGAGGGAAACAACCCAGACCGCCAGCUAAGGUCCCAAAGUCAUGGUUAAGUGGGAAACGAUGUGGGAAGGCCCAGACAGCCAGGAUGUUGGCUUAGAAGCAGCCAUCAUUUAAAGAAAGCGUAAUAGCUCACUGGUCGAGUCGGCCUGCGCGGAAGAUGUAACGGGGCUAAACCAUG